AGGGCGCACGGUGGAUGCCUUGACACUAGGAGUCGAUGAAGGACGGGACUAACGCCGAUAUGCUUCGGGGAGCUGUAAGUAAGCUUUGAUCCGAAGAUUUCCGAAUGGGGAAACCCACCAUACGUAAUGGUAUGGUAUCCUUAUCUGAAUACAUAGGGUAAGGAAGACAGACCCAGGGAACUGAAACAUCUAAGUACCUGGAGGAAGAGAAAGCAAAUGCGAUUUCCUGAGUAGCGGCGAGCGAAACGGAACAUAGCCCAAACCAAGAGGCUUGCCUCUUGGGGUUGUAGGACAUUCUAUACGGAGUUACAAAGGAACGAGGUAGACGAAGCGACCUGGAAAGGUCCGUCGUAGAGGGUAACAACCCCGUAGUCGAAACUUCGUUCUCUCUUGAAUGUAUCCUGAGUACGGCGGAACACGUGAAAUUCCGUCGGAAUCUGGGAGGACCAUCUCCCAAGGCUAAAUACUCCCUAGUGAUCGAUAGUGAACCAGUACCGUGAGGGAAAGGUGAAAAGCACCCCGGAAGGGGAGUGAAAGAGAUCCUGAAACCGUGUGCCUACAAAUAGUCAGAGCCCGUUAACGGGUGAUGGCGUGCCUUUUGUAGAAUGAACCGGCGAGUUACGAUCCCGUGCGAGGUUAAGCUGAAGAGGCGGAGCCGCAGCGAAAGCGAGUCUGAAUAGGGCGUUUAGUACGUGGUCGUAGACCCGAAACCAGGUGAUCUACCCAUGUCCAGGGUGAAGUUCAGGUAACACUGAAUGGAGGCCCGAACCCACGCACGUUGAAAAGUGCGGGGAUGAGGUGUGGGUAGCGGAGAAAUUCCAAUCGAACCUGGAGAUAGCUGGUUCUCCCCGAAAUAGCUUUAGGGCUAGCCUUAAGUGUAAGAGUCUUGGAGGUAGAGCACUGAUUGGACUAGGGGUCCUCAUCGGAUUACCGAAUUCAGUCAAACUCCGAAUGCCAAUGACUUAUCCUUAGGAGUCAGACUGCGAGUGAUAAGAUCCGUAGUCAAAAGGGAAACAGCCCAGACCGCCAGCUAAGGUCCCAAAGUGUGUAUUAAGUGGAAAAGGAUGUGGAGUUGCUUAGACAACUAGGAUGUUGGCUUAGAAGCAGCCACCAUUUAAAGAGUGCGUAAUAGCUCACUAGUCGAGUGACUCUGCGCCGAAAAUGUACCGGGGCUAAAUACACCACCGAAGCUGCGGAUUGAUACCGAAUGGUAUCAGUGGUAGGGGAGCGUUCUAAGGACAGUGAAGUCAGACCGUAAGGACUGGUGGAGUGCUUAGAAGUGAGAAUGCCGGUAUGAGUAGCGAAAGACGGGUGAGAAUCCCGUCCACCGAAUGCCUAAGGUUUCCUGAGGAAGGCUCGUCCGCUCAGGGUUAGUCAGGACCUAAGCCGAGGCCGACAGGCGUAGGCGAUGGACAACAGGUUGAUAUUCCUGUACCACCUCUUUAUCGUUUGAGCAAUGGAGGGACGCAGAAGGAUAGAAGAAGCGUGCGAUUGGUUGUGCACGUCCAAGCAGUUAGGCUGAUAAGUAGGCAAAUCCGCUUAUCGUGAAGGCUGAGCUGUGAUGGGGAAGCUCCUUAUGGAGCGAAGUCUUUGAUUCCCCGCUGCCAAGAAAAGCUUCUAGCGAGAUAAAAGGUGCCUGUACCGCAAACCGACACAGGUAGGCGAGGAGAGAAUCCUAAGGUGUGCGAGAGAACUCUGGUUAAGGAACUCGGCAAAAUGACCCCGUAACUUCGGGAGAAGGGGUGCUUUCUUAACGGAAAGCCGCAGUGAAUAGGCCCAAGCGACUGUUUAGCAAAAACACAGCUCUCUGCGAAGCCGUAAGGCGAAGUAUAGGGGGUGACACCUGCCCGGUGCUGGAAGGUUAAGGAGAGGGGUUAGCGUAAGCGAAGCUCUGAACUGAAGCCCCAGUAAACGGCGGCCGUAACUAUAACGGUCCUAAGGUAGCGAAAUUCCUUGUCGGGUAAGUUCCGACCCGCACGAAAGGUGUAACGAUUUGGGCACUGUCUCAACCAGAGACUCGGUGAAAUUAUAGUACCUGUGAAGAUGCAGGUUACCCGCGACAGGACGGAAAGACCCCGUGGAGCUUUACUGUAGCCUGAUAUUGAAUUUUGGUACAGUUUGUACAGGAUAGGCGGGAGCCAUUGAAACCGGAGCGCUAGCUUCGGUGGAGGCGCUGGUGGGAUACCGCCCUGACUGUAUUGAAAUUCUAACCUACGGGUCUUAUCGACCCGGGAGACAGUGUCAGGUGGGCAGUUUGACUGGGGCGGUCGCCUCCUAAAGUGUAACGGAGGCGCCCAAAGGUUCCCUCAGAAUGGUUGGAAAUCAUUCGUAGAGUGCAAAGGCAUAAGGGAGCUUGACUGCGAGACCUACAAGUCGAGCAGGGACGAAAGUCGGGCUUAGUGAUCCGGUGGUUCCGCAUGGAAGGGCCAUCGCUCAACGGAUAAAAGCUACCCCGGGGAUAACAGGCUUAUCUCCCCCAAGAGUCCACAUCGACGGGGAGGUUUGGCACCUCGAUGUCGGCUCAUCGCAUCCUGGGGCUGUAGUCGGUCCCAAGGGUUGGGCUGUUCGCCCAUUAAAGCGGUACGCGAGCUGGGUUCAGAACGUCGUGAGACAGUUCGGUCCCUAUCCGUCGUGGGCGUAGGAAAUUUGAGAGGAGCUGUCCUUAGUACGAGAGGACCGGGAUGGACGCACCGCUGGUGUACCAGUUGUUCUGCCAAGGGCAUAGCUGGGUAGCUAUGUGCGGAAGGGAUAAGUGCUGAAAGCAUCUAAGCAUGAAGCCCCCCUCAAGAUGAGAUUUCCCAUAGCGUAAGCUAGU
RNAcentral lists this ribosomal RNA (2815 nucleotides) under Bacillus thuringiensis serovar kumamtoensis. RNAcentral's name for it is "bacterial LSU rRNA". It matches the Rfam family "Bacterial large subunit ribosomal RNA". Lineage: Bacteria; Bacillati; Bacillota; Bacilli; Caryophanales; Bacillaceae. The record is from RNAcentral.